UCAGCAGAGGUGGUCGCUUUCUCAGAUACAUUCCCCGUCGUGGAGACGUGUUUACCAACAAACUCGAUGAAAUAAUCCCAAGAGAGGCUGGCUGCAGCUCACACGCAUGGCAAAUAACUUGGGCUAGUGUUUUGAAGCAGAGUUGCUAGAGUUUGUACCAAAGCGAAAUUGGAGCACAUUGAUGUCAGCUUGAAUACCGGACCAGGGUGCUGAAGCUGUGAAAAUGCGGAGGACCAACGGUGAUCAGCAUGCGCAAAAGGGACCAUGAUGAGCGGCUGAUCUUGGUGAAGAGUGGCCAGACACAGACGGCAGGCCAGACGAGCGAAGGGCAGUGCAGUGCAGUGUGUGGGACAGGCACCUCAUCAAAUCUGUGCCAGGCUUCUGGGAGCCAGCUGGAUGACAUUGUAACAAAACAUCGUUCAACUGCAGUUUUCAAAAACGAUUUGGAAAAAGGCUGGGAUGUCGUCAUCCCUCCCCUGGCUGUGAGCCUGUGACCACCACCUGCAACUUGGUACAAGGAUGUGACAACAUUAUGUAUCACAUGCAUAGAAGUAGUAUAAAAGUAUAACAUGAAGCGAAAGUUGAGUAAAUUUAGUUUAAAAAAAAAUCUUGACUAGACAGUGUGACGCCAUCGUUUCUUACUUCCCCAAUUCCACCAUCGUCUUGAAAUGUUUCAUCAGCAGCUGAAGUGGAGCAUCAUGAGGCCCCUGGAUACGGUGGAGGUGGAGGAGGAGAGAUGAAGGGUGCAGAGGGCAGCUGAUCAAAGAGUCUCCAAGUAGGCCAUCUUUAUCCUCAAGGAAGGUGGAGGGAGGAGGAAGGUGUUGAAGUGACAGACAGCCAAGACUGGGUUGUCGUCUCUCUUUCCUUCCUCUCUCCUCCUACAGGUGCUGCUGGGUGAGUCAAGCAAGCCCUCUGAGCCCUACAGAUCAUUUUAAACUUGCUUUGAAACUCCCCGAAACUACUUCCUGAUUUCUGACACACACACACCCAAGACACCAAGGCACUCAAGUUGGUGACAGCAGACCUAAAGGGAACAUUUUUGAGGCGGUGACUCACUCUCUCGCUAGCUGGUUCUGUGCUGGGAGGAGGUGUACUCCUAACGGCACCACCCUAUGCCAUCGCCAUGGA
Long non-coding RNA from Engraulis encrasicolus (European anchovy), 1128 nucleotides. RefSeq lists it as uncharacterized. The transcript is spliced from 3 exons. The record is from RefSeq and is a predicted model, not a curated record. NCBI's taxonomy places the organism in Eukaryota, Metazoa, Chordata, Actinopteri, Clupeiformes, Engraulidae.